Molecule: unclassified non-coding RNA, 204 nt
Filed under: Hevea brasiliensis (rubber tree)
Lineage: Eukaryota; Viridiplantae; Streptophyta; Magnoliopsida; Malpighiales; Euphorbiaceae
Source: RNAcentral
GGAUACUACACAGAGCUUCGGGUUAAAGAUGAAGCCUCCGUAAGAAUCAACAGUCCCGAGACGACACGGGUCAGUUCUUGAAAAAUGUAAAUGACAAGUUAUGCAAACUUUUUGGCUACUAACUGGUUAGGUUAUGUGACUACAGCUGAAUCAAGCGAUGAUGGUAGAUCCUAAUUAUCCCUUAGCGAGUUGGGUCUAGGAUGU